This 21-nucleotide non-coding RNA is filed under the name Caenorhabditis elegans. The record is from RNAcentral. Lineage: Eukaryota; Metazoa; Nematoda; Chromadorea; Rhabditida; Rhabditidae.
UUUCAUCCGCUGAAAAAAUCU